Molecule: long non-coding RNA, 217 nt
Filed under: Panax ginseng (ginseng)
Lineage: Eukaryota; Viridiplantae; Streptophyta; Magnoliopsida; Apiales; Araliaceae
Description: long non-coding RNA (PGIN_LNC018656)
Source: RNAcentral
ACGACAGUAUCGGGGCGGUGGGUGUCACCGAGGAAGUGGGUGGAGCGUGAGAAGUCGCCGGCGAGUGAGAAGUGAGUGAUGAGAGUAGAGGAGAGAAAUGGGUCGAGAACGGAGCCUGAUUUGAUGAAGAGGGCAUAGGUUGUGUCUGUGAGGUGUGGGUUUUGGAGAGAGAGAGACACUUUUAGGGCUUGGGGGUAGAGAUUUUGGUGAAUUAGGG